RNAcentral lists this ribosomal RNA (256 nucleotides) under uncultured bacterium. RNAcentral's name for it is "partial 16S ribosomal RNA". It matches the Rfam family "Bacterial small subunit ribosomal RNA", at positions 99 to 354 of the family's 1533-position model. The record is from RNAcentral.
CGGACGGGUGAGUAACACGUGAGCAACCUGCCUUCGAGAGGAGAAUAACGGCUGGAAACGGUCGCUAAUACCGCAUAACAUACCGGGAGGACAUCCUGCUGGUAUCAAAGAUUUUAUCGCUCGAAGAUGGGCUCGCGUCCGAUUAGGUAGUUGGUGAGGUAACGGCUCACCAAGCCGACGAUCGGUAGCCGGACUGAGAGGUUGAACGGCCACAUUGGGACUGAGACACGGCCCAGACUCCUACGGAAGGCAGCAG